GGACACUAUGGAAGGUCGACCACUGGAGGGGUCCAGAGGAAAUUUGUCCGUUGGAGGGGUCUGGUUGGCACUGUUGAAGUUUGAUUGGUACUAUUGAAGGUUGAUGGCUGGAGAAGUAUGGAAGACACAGGAGACAGUCGGUCAUUGUAGAAAUCCGACUGCUGGAGCCCGUCCAUUGUAGAAGUUCGUCUGGAAUCCAUCCGCUGUAGAAGUUCGGAUGGAGUCUGAUUCUUGCAGAAGUU
RNAcentral lists this long non-coding RNA (242 nucleotides) under Elaeis guineensis (African oil palm). RNAcentral's name for it is "long non-coding RNA (EGUI_LNC070943)". The record is from RNAcentral. Lineage: Eukaryota; Viridiplantae; Streptophyta; Magnoliopsida; Arecales; Arecaceae.